CAGAAGACUGAAUGUAUUUAGUAUGUUAAGAGAAACUUACUAAAAUGUAACUAAAUAAAUAUAAAACUAAUGCUAACAUUAGUUAUCAUAUCAUAUUAUUUAAAUAAUAUUAAAAUGACACUGGUUUACCAUCAAAACAAGAGCACAUUUGUGAACUUAGUUUAAGUUAAAACUCUAAAAUUACUAACUGGUAAUAAAAUAAAUUAAAGUUAAAACUAAAUAAAUAAUUAUAAAAAUGAAAAAAAAAAAACACACACCACAAAAACAUCUUACUAAAAUUAAUAUAGAAAAUAUAACUAAUUUAAAAAUAUUAAUAAAAACUCUCAAUGAUACUAAAAUAAAUGACAUGAUUUUAAAUUAGUUUUAGAGGUGGAGCAAGUUUUUACAUUUUGAUUAUUGGGAUAAAAUAUUUUUAUUUAGAAUUAGGUGUACACUGCUUUUUAAAGACUUAGGGUCAGUGCAUCAUGUGACACUGAAGACUGGGGUAAUGAUACUGAAAAUUCAGCUUUACAUCACAGGAGUAAAUUACAUUUUACAAUAUAUUCAAAUAGAAAACAGUUAUUUUAAAUUGUAAUAUUUCACCUUUUUUUGAUCAAAUAAAUGCAGACUUAGUGAGCAGAAGAGUAUAUUAAUAAAAUAAAAUCUCGGUUUUGAUUUCAGUUGUCGGUUCUCUCACUUAUUUAUUGACUUGACAAUUUGUAAUUUCUCUGUUCCGCUUGACAGAUCCUGCACUUCACGAGCAAAAAAGACUCAUGUCGUCAGAAAUUAUACAGCACAUGGAGAGUGACUUUUAUGAUUUUGAGAUGAACUGCGGUCUGCUGCUGCUUCAGACAGAUGAUGCUUCCUCCAGCUAUUUACUGUUGUGGUUAGUAAAAUCAUGUUAAUGUAUAAUGUAUUCAUUAAUCCUAAUAAUUAUAUAUUAUUAUAAUUAUUAUAUAUAAUACAAAAUAAAAUAAAUUAAUAAAAUGUUUUGAUAUAAU
Cyprinus carpio (common carp) is the source of this 980-nucleotide long non-coding RNA. Lineage: Eukaryota; Metazoa; Chordata; Actinopteri; Cypriniformes; Cyprinidae. The record is from Ensembl.